CCUACGGGGGGCUGCAGUGGGGAAUAUUGCACAAUGGGCGCAAGCCUGAUGCAGCCAUGCCGCGUGUGUGGAGAAGGCCUUCGGGUUGUAAAGCACUUUCAGCGGGGAGGAAGGCGGUGAGGUUAAUAACCUCAUCGAUUGACGUUACCCGCAGAAGAAGCACCGGCUAACUCCGUGCCAGCAGCCGCGGUAAUACGGAGGGUGCAAGCGUUAAUCGGAAUUACUGGGCGUAAAGCGCACGCAGGCGGUCUGUCAAGUCGGAUGUGAAAUCCCCGGGCUCAACCUGGGAACUGCAUUCGAAACUGGCAGGCUAGAGUCAUGUAGAGGGGGGUAGAAUUCCAGGUGUAGCGGUGAAAUGCGUAGAGAUCUGGAGGAAUACCGGUGGCGAAGGCGGCCCCCUGGACAAAGACUGACGCUCAGGUGCGAAAGCGUGGGGAGCAAACAGGAUUAGAUACCCCUGUAGUC
RNAcentral lists this ribosomal RNA (465 nucleotides) under uncultured Klebsiella sp. RNAcentral describes it as "bacterial SSU rRNA". It matches the Rfam family "Bacterial small subunit ribosomal RNA", at positions 338 to 795 of the family's 1533-position model. The record is from RNAcentral. Lineage: Bacteria; Pseudomonadati; Pseudomonadota; Gammaproteobacteria; Enterobacterales; Enterobacteriaceae.